Molecule: transfer RNA, 41 nt
Filed under: Bradyrhizobium sp. jwc91-2
Lineage: Bacteria; Pseudomonadati; Pseudomonadota; Alphaproteobacteria; Hyphomicrobiales; Nitrobacteraceae
Also listed under: 7 other names
Description: partial tRNA-Ala
Source: RNAcentral
CGGGGCCAUAGCUCAGCUGGGAGAGCGCGUGCUUUGCAAGC